Pelobates cultripes (western spadefoot toad) is the source of this 162-nucleotide non-coding RNA. The record is from the annotation of a GenBank genome assembly. NCBI's taxonomy places the organism in Eukaryota, Metazoa, Chordata, Amphibia, Anura, Pelobatidae.
GACAGAGGGAGGGAGGGAGUGGGUGACUAGUGACAGAGGGAGGGGGUGACACAGUGACAGAGUGAGGGAGGUGGUGACUGUCACUAGUCACCACCUCCCUCACUCUGUCCCUAGUCACCCCCUUCCUCACUGUCACUAGUCACCCCUUCCCUCCCUAACUCU